GGGUUGUGAGGUUAAGCGACUAAGCGUACACGGUGGAUGCCCUGGCAGUCAGAGGCGAUGAAGGACGUGCUAAUCUGCGAUAAGCGCCGGUAAGGUGAUAUGAACCGUUAUAACCGGCGAUUUCCGAAUGGGGAAACCCAGUGUGACUCGUCACACUAUCAUUAACUGAAUCCAUAGGUUAAUGAGGCGAACCGGGGGAACUGAAACAUCUAAGUACCCCGAGGAAAAGAAAUCAACCGAGAUUCCCCCAGUAGCGGCGAGCGAACGGGGAGGAGCCCAGAGCCUGAAUCAGCAUGUGUGUUAGUGGAAGCGUCUGGAAAGGCGCGCGAUACAGGGUGACAGCCCCGUACACAAAAGCGCAUAUGCUGUGAGCUCGAUGAGUAGGGCGGGACACGUGGUAUCCUGUCUGAAUAUGGGGGGACCAUCCUCCAAGGCUAAAUACUCCUGACUGACCGAUAGUGAACCAGUACCGUGAGGGAAAGGCGAAAAGAACCCCGGCGAGGGGAGUGAAAAAGAACCUGAAACCGUGUACGUACAAGCAGUGGGAGCCCCACCACUAAGCCAGUGGUGAACUCCACAUACGCAUCCUUUGCUGAGGAUACGGUUAACGGAGCGAAAGCGACGUUCAACCGCAAAAGAAGCAGAGGGGGCUUAGUGGUGGGGUGACUGCGUACCUUUUGUAUAAUGGGUCAGCGACUUAUAUUCUGUAGCAAGGUUAACCGAAUAGGGGAGCCGGAGGGAAACCGAGUCUUAAUUGGGCGUUAAGUUGCAGGGUAUAGACCCGAAACCCGGUGAUCUAGCCAUGGGCAGGUUGAAGGUUGGGUAACACUAACUGGAGGACCGAACCGACUAAUGUUGAAAAAUUAGCGGAUGACCUGUGGCUGGGGGUGAAAGGCCAAUCAAACCGGGAGAUAGCUGGUUCUCCCCGAAAGCUAUUUAGGUAGCGCCUCGUGAAUUCAUCUCCGGGGGUAGAGCACUGUUUCGGCUAGGGGGCCAUCCCGGCUUACCAACCCGAUGCAAACUGCGAAUACCGGAGAAUGUUAUCACGGGAGACACACGGCGGGUGCUAACGUCCGUCGUGAA
This 1083-nucleotide ribosomal RNA is filed under the name Salmonella enterica. RNAcentral describes it as "partial 23S ribosomal RNA". It matches the Rfam family "Bacterial large subunit ribosomal RNA", at positions 1 to 1014 of the family's 2925-position model. Lineage: Bacteria; Pseudomonadati; Pseudomonadota; Gammaproteobacteria; Enterobacterales; Enterobacteriaceae. The record is from RNAcentral.